RNAcentral lists this ribosomal RNA (405 nucleotides) under uncultured beta proteobacterium. RNAcentral's name for it is "bacterial SSU rRNA". It matches the Rfam family "Bacterial small subunit ribosomal RNA", at positions 958 to 1365 of the family's 1533-position model. Lineage: Bacteria; Pseudomonadati; Pseudomonadota; Betaproteobacteria. The record is from RNAcentral.
AACGCGAAAAACCUUACCUACCCUUGACAUGUCAGGAAUCCUGGAGAGAUCUGGGAGUGCCCGAAAGGGAACCUGAACACAGGUGCUGCAUGGCUGUCGUCAGCUCGUGUCGUGAGAUGUUGGGUUAAGUCCCGCAACGAGCGCAACCCUUGUCAUUAGUUGCUACGCAAGAGCACUCUAAUGAGACUGCCGGUGACAAACCGGAGGAAGGUGGGGAUGACGUCAAGUCCUCAUGGCCCUUAUGGGUAGGGCUUCACACGUCAUACAAUGGUACAUACAGAGGGCCGCCAACCCGCGAGGGGGAGCUAAUCCCAGAAAGUGUAUCGUAGUCCGGAUCGCAGUCUGCAACUCGACUGCGUGAAGUUGGAAUCGCUAGUAAUCGCGGAUCAGCAUUACGACUGGUAA